UUUUUUUUUCUGUUUAAUUUAUUGGGAAAAUUUCAAAAACCUCUCGUAUGGUUUCUUACUUUUUCAUUUUAGUACCCUAUAGUUUAAAAUAUAUCAAAUUAGUAUUAUAUGGUUUCUCACUUUAUCACUUUAGUACCCUGUGAUUUAAAGUGUAUCAAGUUAGUACUCUUUUGUUUUAUUUUUGUAUCAAGUUAGUAUUCUGUGGUUUUAUUUUUGUAUCAAAUUAGUAAUCUGUGGUUUUUAAACCAUAGAGUACUAAAGUGAUAAAGUGCGAAACCACAGGGUACUAAAGUGAUAAAGUGCGAAACCAUAGGUACUAACUUAAUACACUUUAAACCACAGGGUAAUAAAGUGAAAAAGUGCAAAAUCACAGGGUACUAACUUGAUACACUUUAAACUAUAAGGUACUAAAGUGAGAAAAAGUGAUAUCAUAAGGAGGGUAUUUGAAAUUUUUCCUAAUUUAUUUCUCAAUUGCAUACACUAUUACUUGCCCUCUCAGUAUUUCAGUUAAGGGAGUGUUUGGUUUGUAGGGAAAGUGAGAAAAAAAAGUUUUUUGAGAAAAAUUUUUUUUGUGAAUUUUUUUUUGUUAGUUUUUCUUCUAUUUUGUUUUAAAAAAACUAGAUGUUUUGAAAAUUUUAUUUUUCAAAUUUCGUAGCGAAUUAAUGUUUUUGUCUUCUGAAUUUCUUUUAAAAAAAAUGAAAGUGCUACUUUACAACAGAAUUAUAAUAUAAGAAUACAGUUUUGGAACAUUUUUGUGUAAGUGUCCAAUUUAUGCCAAAUUUUUUUUAAAAAAUUUACUAAGACUUAAAUAUAAAGUUCAAUCCAAUCAAAAAUAAAAAGUUACUCUACUCAACCAACCCACCCAGCUUACUCGGCCCGAUUACAAAUAGAAAAGAAAAAAAAAAAGAAGAAAAAUUGAUCACCAUCUCCCCUUCUCCUCCUUCGCCACCGCAGUCGACGAGUUAGGACUCCGGCGGCUGAAAUUCAGCCGCGAGGAUUUCGCAGGGACCGUGAAGGGCUACAAUUACAACGUGUCCCUCCGCUACAAGUCGCUGGAGGAAUGAGUGCCAAAUAUCAAGGCGUCCCUAUAUAUAGCGACCCCACAUAUAGCAACACUUUUAAAAAGUGCCGGUAAUUUAGCCAGUAGCACUUUUUUUUUUAUCUGUACUGAUAUUUAAAUGUGUCACUAUAUACCAUUUUUGUUGUACUAUUUUUCAUAAAAUUUGAAUUUUU
This 1233-nucleotide long non-coding RNA is filed under the name Ananas comosus (pineapple). Its description in RNAcentral is "long non-coding RNA (ACOM_LNC040632)". Lineage: Eukaryota; Viridiplantae; Streptophyta; Magnoliopsida; Poales; Bromeliaceae. The record is from RNAcentral.